Molecule: transfer RNA, 82 nt
Filed under: Phaseolus vulgaris (common bean)
Lineage: Eukaryota; Viridiplantae; Streptophyta; Magnoliopsida; Fabales; Fabaceae
Rfam family: tRNA
About the family: Transfer RNA (tRNA) molecules are approximately 80 nucleotides in length. Their secondary structure includes four short double-helical elements and three loops (D, anti-codon, and T loops).
Source: Rfam by way of RNAcentral
GUGGACGUGCCGGAGUGGUUAUCGUCUAUGACUAGAAAUCAUGUGGGUUCUGUCCGUGCAAGUUCGAAUCCUGCCGUUCAUG